GAUGUGUUUGUGUCCCGUUUCUCCUAGUAUUUGUUGGUGUCAAACACAAUUUCAUCAGAGCAGUGUCUGUAGUUGUCCUCAGAGGCCGUGAGAGCCCUCUCCGAUUUUUCAUCUGAAUCCCUGCUAGAGGCCGUUCAUCACCAACUUCCGGCUGUCAGGUAUUUAAGAACGCGUCUCAGAGAAAUGUGGAGGUGGCUGUGCUGACUUUCUCGUAGGGUCUCCUUCUUGAUGUGUGGAAGAAUGGAAUAGGAAAGAGCUGGUUGAAUCUUGCCGUCCUGAUUGAAACCAUGUAAAGUGGGUCAUAUUGCAGAAUGGAUCCAGUUUGCAUGACUUCAGGGAAAUGUGGGAUUAAAUGGAGGGAGACCUGAUGUUUCAGUCAGGUGACAGGUCAUACCCUGGAAGGAGCUGGAAUGGCACUGUACAUUAA
This is a long non-coding RNA of Carassius carassius (crucian carp), 427 nucleotides long. RefSeq lists it as uncharacterized. Lineage: Eukaryota; Metazoa; Chordata; Actinopteri; Cypriniformes; Cyprinidae. The transcript has 3 exons. The record is from RefSeq and is a predicted model, not a curated record.